RNAcentral lists this non-coding RNA (203 nucleotides) under Virgibacillus sp. RNAcentral also lists the same sequence under 1 other name. The record is from RNAcentral. Lineage: Bacteria; Bacillati; Bacillota; Bacilli; Caryophanales; Bacillaceae.
UUUUAUCCUACAAGCGUUGGUGGCUGCAAAAUUGGCGGCCUUAAUAGGGAAUCUGGUGUGAAUCCAGAGCUGUCCCCGCAACUGUAAAUGUGAACGAACGAGAAUAGAUCCACUGUAUUGCUUGCUUAACGGCUGUGAUAUGGGAAGGUGCUCAAGUAGAUGAACACAUAAGUCAGGAAACCUGCCAAGCCUUGUAAAAGUUU